RNAcentral lists this unclassified non-coding RNA (484 nucleotides) under Hevea brasiliensis (rubber tree). Lineage: Eukaryota; Viridiplantae; Streptophyta; Magnoliopsida; Malpighiales; Euphorbiaceae. The record is from RNAcentral.
CUGAAGGGUAAUUUUGAUUCCUAAUCUCAACAAGAACAGCACUUAUGAUUGGUAUGCAAGCUUCAGCUGCCAGUGUGAAGUCCUGAAUAGUGCUUUUACUUCCAGACCAAUCAUAUGAAAUGGAGAUGGAAGGUACAUCAUUAAAGAAGGCCUCCCGAGCACCGGCAACAGUACCAGAAUAAACAAUGUGAUAGCCGCAGUUGCUCCCCAUAUUUAUGCCACUGAUAACCAGAUCAGGAAUUGACGGAAAUAAUGCUUUGGAGACUCCUAAAGAAGCACAAUCAGCUGGAGUGCCAGAAACUGCAAAGGCUGUUGCUCCAUCAAUGCCUACUCGCCGAGCUGAAAUAGGAUGACGCCAAGUAAUGCAAUGACUGACACCGGAUUUUUCCGAAUCAGGGGCGCAAACCAGGACGUGGAAGCGAUCAGUGGAGAUGAGGACGCGAACCAGAGAACGGAGUCCUGGUGCGUCAAUACCGUCGUCGUU